RNAcentral lists this ribosomal RNA (478 nucleotides) under uncultured bacterium. Its description in RNAcentral is "partial 16S ribosomal RNA". It matches the Rfam family "Bacterial small subunit ribosomal RNA", at positions 28 to 507 of the family's 1533-position model. The record is from RNAcentral.
GACGAACGCUGGCGGCGCGCUUAACACAUGCAAGUCGAGCGAUGAAACUUUAACAGAACUCUUCGGAGUGAAGAGAAAGUGGAUUAGCGGCGGACGGGUGAGUAACACGCGAGUAACCGGCCGUAGACAUAGGGAUAGCCACGGGAAACCGGGAUUAAUACCAAAUAAAAUAAAUGACACAUGUCAUAACGAUCACAACUCAGGUGGUCUAAGAUGGACUAGCGUCCCAUUAGCUAGUUGGUAGAGUAAAAGCCUACCAAGGCGACGAUGGGUAGCCUGCCUGUGAGGGUGAACGGCCACAUUGGAACGGAGAAACGGUCCAAACUCCUACGGGAAGCGGCAAUGGGGAAUAUUGCACUAUCGAGGGAAUUCUGAUGCCGCGACGCCGCGUGAACGAAUAAGGCUUUCGAGUCGUAAAGUUCUUUUAUAUGGGAAGAUAAUGACGGUACCAUAAGAAAAAGCCCCGGCUAACUACGUG